This 960-nucleotide ribosomal RNA is filed under the name uncultured bacterium. RNAcentral's name for it is "bacterial SSU rRNA". It matches the Rfam family "Bacterial small subunit ribosomal RNA", at positions 28 to 985 of the family's 1533-position model. The record is from RNAcentral.
GAUGAACGCUAGCGGCAGGCUUAACACAUGCAAGUCGAGGGGCAGCACGGGUAGCAAUACCUGGUGGCGACCGGCAAACGGGUGCGGAACACGUACAGAACCUACCUUUAUCUGGGGCAUAGCCCGGAGAAAUCCGGAUUAACUCCCCAUAGCAUUAUUGGGUGGCAUCACUUGAUAAUUAAAAAUUUAUUGGAUAAAGAUGGCUGUGCGUCCCAUUAGCUAGUUGGUAGGGUAACGGCCUACCAAGGCGACGAUGGGUAGCUGGUGUGAGAGCACGACCAGCCACACGGGCACUGAGACACGGGCCCGACUCCUACGGGAGGCAGCAGUGAGGAAUAUUGGUCAAUGGACGCAAGUCUGAACCAGCCAUGCCGCGUGAAGGAUGAAGGCCUUCUGGGUUGUAAACUUCUUUUAUCUGGGAAGAAAAGCAUUGUUUCUACGAUGUCCGACGGUACCAGAGGAAUAGGCACCGGCUAACUCCGUGCCAGCAGCCGCGGUAAUACGGAGGGUGCAAGCGUUAUCCGGAUUUACUGGGUUUAAAGGGUGUGUAGGCGGGCUAUUAAGUCAGUGGUGAAAUCUCCGGGCUCAACCUGGAAACUGCCAUUGAUACUAUUAGUCUUGAAUCUUGUUGAGGUUGGCGGAAUAUAUCAUGUAGCGGUGAAAUGCAUAGAUAUGAUAUAGAACACCGAUUGCGAAGGCAGCUAACUAAGCAAGUAUUGACGCUGANGCACGAAAGCGUGGGGAUCAAACAGGAUUAGAUACCCUGGUAGUCCACGCCCUAAACGAUGAUUACUCGACAUACGUGAUACACUAUGUGUGUCUGAGCGAAAGCAUUAAGUAAUCCACCUGGGAAGUACGACCGCAAGGNUGAAACUCAAAGGANUUGACGGGGGUCCNCACAAGCGGUGGNAGCAUGUGGUUUAAUUCGAUGAUNNNCGAGAACCNUANCCUGGGCUAGAA